AGUGCCCGGAAGUUCGGGUUGUUUCCGGUUCCCGGGUGUCAGUAUCUGUAUGAAAAACUUCAAGGGUCGCACGUCGGUGACAUUUCGGCUUUAACUGUGAAGCUGUCAAUAUCUUUUUCCGAUGAUCGGCAAGACUGUCAGCAUGACGUCAAAAUGGUCCCCCAUUGUCUUCUAUGACUCUUCUUGAUGUCAUCGUAACUCUGGUUUGACUCAUCAUACUCCACACUCAAGUGAGGAGUUCUGUUUCUGUUGUUUUGCAGUUUACACAACACGUCUUUUAUCAUUCUGUAUGGUGCAUUACCUUGUAAGCUCCACUUCACUCAAACGCAAAGAGUGAGACUAUAGCUAAACAGUAGACAUAUAAGCUAUCAAUCACUAGUACUGGGUGCAAAAGAUGCAAUCAAUGAAAGUAGAAGGUACAAAAAAUCUGAAAAUUGAAUUAAAAACAGCAAAUUUUAACUUCUGAAACUGACUUACUGAAUAAAGAACAGAUCACCAAACUAACUUGUCAGAAAGAGCACUGAAAUUUUUGAAGCAAAAUCCAAGUUUUGCGAUUGACAAAGCAUUCCAUUACUUUAUAUUACAAAAAAAUAAAUCAUUUAU
Long non-coding RNA from Frankliniella occidentalis (western flower thrips), 603 nucleotides. RefSeq lists it as uncharacterized. The transcript is spliced from 3 exons. NCBI's taxonomy places the organism in Eukaryota, Metazoa, Arthropoda, Insecta, Thysanoptera, Thripidae. The record is from RefSeq and is a predicted model, not a curated record.